UCUUCUUCUUUCUUUUUUUUGAUCAAUGAGUUGAAGGUUGAUAAGUUAGCAUUGAUUAGGGAGACUUAACCUUCCUUGAUUCAAAUCUAAUUCAUCUUGAUCAAUUGAUCAAGAGAAUCGAUUUGCAUUAAGGAUAGGUUGUUUCCUAAAUUAUGCAAAAGACUUAAACCAAUACAAGAUCAAUUCUCUUUUUUCUUUAUGGCAAGUUGUUGGAACUUGGUUCACUAAUCAAGACUUCUAAUUUGUGUUGUUG
Molecule: long non-coding RNA, 253 nt
Filed under: Lathyrus oleraceus (garden pea)
Lineage: Eukaryota; Viridiplantae; Streptophyta; Magnoliopsida; Fabales; Fabaceae
Description: Pisum sativum (pea) long non-coding RNA (PSAT_LNC008188)
Source: RNAcentral